Molecule: transfer RNA, 81 nt
Filed under: Streptomyces clavuligerus
Lineage: Bacteria; Bacillati; Actinomycetota; Actinomycetes; Kitasatosporales; Streptomycetaceae
Description: tRNA-Tyr
Rfam family: tRNA
About the family: Transfer RNA (tRNA) molecules are approximately 80 nucleotides in length. Their secondary structure includes four short double-helical elements and three loops (D, anti-codon, and T loops).
Source: RNAcentral
GGCGGUGUGCCCGAGUGGCCAAUGGGAGCGGACUGUAAAUCCGUCGGCUUAGCCUACCCAGGUUCGAAUCCGGCGCCGCCA